ACGGAACUUAGGCUGUGUGCCGGAGGCCAAGAUCCAGUCGGAGGGAGACAGUAUUAAAAGUGAGAGAGCCUGUAAAAGCCCAUUUCCUUUCCUUGAUUCUUAGCGGAUACUUUUAUGCAAGAUUAUGUAGUUUUUUUUUUAUGCAAGGCCCAAGUCAGUAUAUUUAAUAACACAUAUCACAGGUGUUAUGAAGCAGAGACAGUACCAAACACUAUGGUUAGUAUGCUGUAGGAUUUGGUGUAUGGCACUCUUAAGCCGGUUUUACACUGUGUGAUUCCAGUGGUCGUUUAUAAUUAUUAAUCAUCACACUGUAUGAAAUAAUUCAAAUAAGAAUUCUAUAACAGACUGUGCAAUAACAUGUGCUCUUCAUUUCAGAUUAUACAACGACGAUCCUAUGAUUAAAGAAAAAUUACUAUUCUGCUGUACUAUGUCAGCAGUGCAGCACAGGUUUGUAGUUCAUUGACUGGAAAUCAAGAAAUAGUUUUGCAUUGUCAUAAUAAUAAAUAAACUGUGUAAACAGAGCAUUUGUGUGCUAAUUAAAAGAUUAUCCUUUACGAUGUGUGAUUAUGCCUGCGACAGCAAAAUCAGGCCAAAAAUCAUACAGUGUAAAGCUGGUUUUGGUCGGGAGUAAAGAUCGGUGGUCUUAGAACGUGUGACGGACUCACCCAUGGCCGAUUUAAUACUACUGUGACCGAACACAGCUGAUCAUUGAGUUUAUUUACUACUAUGACAAUGUGAAACUCAUUAUUUUCAUGAUUUCCAAUUGAAGAUCUACUAAUCUGUGCUGCAUUGCUGCACACCCAGUAUGAAUUUAAUAAUUUUCUUUAGUCAUAUGUCUAGGAUCAUCAGCAAUGAUGUAACUCAGUUUAUUUUUAGGAAGUGUUUCGCCUUGGCAUGAUGCAACACAAAAACAAUUCAGAAUUCCCCUGCAAGAUCCGCCUACCAGUAAUAGCCGAAAAACUCUCAAUCUCCCUCCCCCCCUUCUCCAUAACCUGCAGCACUAUCUGAGUGUGAAUGUGAAACUAAUCCAGUGAGAAAUACACUUUCCCUGUUCAUAGGUGGAAAUCAGACUUGAUCACAGAAGUGUUUCUCUGUUUCCCUGGUAGUUUCUGAUAUAUUUAGCAGUUAGUAAUUAAGUCUUUUUCAUUGGUUAGCUCUGACAUGCAAAUACCUUUAUUUUUUCAGUGCAGUGCACAACAUUUGACUGGAAAAAGAAAUUAUUAUAUAGGUAUAGUAUCUGUGACCAAGCUUGACUUUUUUUUUUUUUUAAAGUGACAAUUUAAAAAAAAAAAAAAUGUCACAUUUUGUUUGCAUGUUGUUACACCAAACUGCAUAUGUUUGACUACUGAAUAUAGGAGUUAUGUUAUUCUUAAUAUACUACUGUUCUCAUGCAUUUACCACACAUUCUUCAUAAAUUAGGAAAGAAGGGUAUAAUAAGUGCACUGUUGAUCUACUUAUAUAUUAGAUACACACAAUAAAUAUAUUCUCCCAUGUUUUAACAAUGUCACCAAUUAAUGUCACAUGGAGAGUUUGACUAUAAUUAAUACAGUGGUUUUGAUGAUGCAUGGAAAUGUUGAUGCAGUUAACUAUAAUGAAAGAGCACUUCCUAUUGCAUGAUGGUAAAUGACACACAGAUGCAUGAAAACAUUGAGAAAGUAUCUGAGAACCAUAAAACAACCACAAGGUCAUGAAAGUUUCUGUUACAGUUUCUACUACAAAUUAUUUUGUUCACUGUUCAACUCUAAACAUGCCAAUAAAUCCACAUGUGCCCAGGCUUUUGUUUGAGACCUCUGGUUUUCAGCAUUAUAUACUGUUAAGUAAUAUAUUUCAUGUUAUUUUUGAUAAAGACUUCACUUGAGAAACACUGUUGCUCAGCAUAAUUUGCGUAUGUUUUGUGGGAGUUUUUUCCCCCUAAAACAUGUAUUCUUUCACAGAAAAUAUUACUUUUCUUGUACAAUAUCUUGAUGUAUAUGUGGUUAAUAUUAUUGCCAUACUGCAAUAUGUUCCACAAUCAUGAAUCAAUGUUUCUGCAGAACUUGGCAAAAAUUUGUUAUAAACCACAACUCCUUUGAGAAAUGAAAUGAAAGUAGUUAAGUAUUAUAACUUUAUCUACAGUAUUACUGUUACACCUAAGAAAUUCUUUCCUCUGCAAAAACCUCUGCAUCUAUUCAUGGCUAAACUGUUACACCUGAGAAAUUCUUCCCACUAAGUGAUUGUUUAUGUGCUUCUGAAUGUGUGUGGGAUAUGGUAUGUUUGAGUGUGGCAAUCUUGGCUCUGUGACAGUAUUGGGGGCGUGCUGAUAGCUGCCUCUUAAUCCAGGGGCAAGUUUCACCAGCAGUAAAGCAGCUUUUGUGAAAGAAUUAAGAUGUGAGUGAGUGGGCAGCAUUCUCUCAUAUAAGGUGGUGUCUAGCAGAAUGGGAGAUGCUCAUUCAUUCCAACAACAUGGAAACGACUGUCUUCAUCCACGAAUGCCAGAACUUAACUAAGACUUCCAAAGGCAUGCAGGAGUCCAGGCACUUCCAGUACAAUUCCAGGUAUCUCCUACUGACACUUGUUACUCUGCUGGGGCUCAUGUUUGGAGGAAUGGUUGGACUUUUUACAGUUUGGAUGUCACAGAAUGUAGUCAAAUCAAGUUUCACUUGUCCACAGGUAACACACCAGGUGAAUGUCUCACAUCGACUGAUUAUUUCAGGGGAGGAAAGCUCAUAUCCUAUCUUCACAGUUCAACAAAAUGGGACCUACUUUUUCUAUGGCAAAAUGCAAAAGAAUGAAACAAGCACUAAAAACUGUAUAGAUGAGAUCAGGUUGGCCUUGAGGAGGCCAACUGUGUCAGAAGAUGUAACUAAGGAAGAAAUUAAGGAAGCCAGAUUUUGUAAAAAUUCUGGAAAUUAUGUGGCUGAAAUUGUGGCUGAAGUCCAGCUGGAAGAAAACAGUGUGGUGUACUUGGAAAUCAACUGCCCUAUAAAUAAUGACAAGACAAGUUUCUUUUACAGAGUUUUGUACAUAUCACAAUGAUAUUAUAUCAGUUAAAAUCAGUUAAAACAUUACUUAUCCUUUCUCUUAAGCUUCAUAUUUAAGACUGCACAACAUCCUUGAAAUAUUGAGCUGCUUUCUGUUGCAUGUAACAUUUAAAUAAUACCUGCUCUGUAUGAUAUGUAUAAAUGAAUUACUGAAUAAUGAUUUUAUUCUGUCAUUUAAAUUCUGUCAACACAUAUCUACAUAUACAUAUAAGAUAUAUGUUUGAUUCAUAUUUCUCAUACUGUGACAUUUCUACAAUUAUUUUAUAA
Pangasianodon hypophthalmus (striped catfish) is the source of this 3287-nucleotide long non-coding RNA. RefSeq lists it as uncharacterized. The record is from RefSeq and is a predicted model, not a curated record. The transcript has 3 exons. Lineage: Eukaryota; Metazoa; Chordata; Actinopteri; Siluriformes; Pangasiidae.